AAUAGAUACCCGGGUAGUCCAUGCCGUAAACGUUGGGCACUAGGUGUGGGGCUCAUUCCACGAGUUCCGUGCCGCAGCAAACGCAUUAAGUGCCCCGCCUGGGGAGUACGGCCGCAAGGCUAAAACUCAAAGGAAUUGACGGGGGCCCGCACAAGCGGCGGAGCAUGCGGAUUAAUUCGAUGCAACGCGAAGAACCUUACCAAGGCUUGACAUGCACGGGAAGCCACCAGAGAUGGUGGUCUCUUUGGACACUCGUGCACAGGUGGUGCAUGGUUGUCGUCAGCUCGUGUCGUGAGAUGUUGGGUUAAGUCCCGCAACGAGCGCAACCCUCGUCCCAUGUUGCCAGCGGGUUAUGCCGGGGACUCAUGGGAGACUGCCGGGGUCAACUCGGAGGAAGUGGGGAUGACGUCAAAUCAGUCAUGCCCCUUAUGUCUUGGGCUUCACGCAUGCUACAAUGGCCGGUACAAAGGGCUGCGAUACCGUAAGGUGGAGCGAAUCCCAAAAGCCGGUCUCAGUUCGGAUUGGGGU
This 528-nucleotide ribosomal RNA is filed under the name uncultured bacterium. RNAcentral describes it as "bacterial SSU rRNA". It matches the Rfam family "Bacterial small subunit ribosomal RNA", at positions 777 to 1304 of the family's 1533-position model. The record is from RNAcentral.